RNAcentral lists this unclassified non-coding RNA (378 nucleotides) under plant metagenome. RNAcentral describes it as "partial contains 5.8S ribosomal RNA, internal transcribed spacer 2, and large subunit ribosomal RNA". The stretch from base 1 to 105 matches the Rfam family "5.8S ribosomal RNA", at positions 50 to 154 of the family's 154-position model. The record is from RNAcentral.
GAAAUGCGAUAAGUAAUGUGAAUUGCAGAAUUCAGUGAAUCAUCGAAUCUUUGAACGCACCUUGCGCUCCUUGGUAUUCCUUGGAGCAUGCCUGUUUGAGUAUCAUGAAAUCUUCAAAGUAAAUCUUUUGUUAACUCAAUUGGUUUCUACUUUGGUAUUGGAGGUCUUUGCAGCUUCACACCUGCUCCUCUUUGUUCAUUAGCUGGAUCUCAGUGUUAUGCUUGGUUCCACUCGGCGUGAUAAGUUAUCUAUCGCUGAGGACACUGUAAAAGGUGGCCAAGGUAAAUGCAGAUGAGCCGCUUCUAAUAGUCCAUUGACUUGGACAAUACUUUUAUGAUCUGAUCUCAGAUCAGGUAGGACUACCCGCUGAACUUAAGC